Molecule: long non-coding RNA, 629 nt
Filed under: Ananas comosus (pineapple)
Lineage: Eukaryota; Viridiplantae; Streptophyta; Magnoliopsida; Poales; Bromeliaceae
Description: long non-coding RNA (ACOM_LNC017260)
Source: RNAcentral
AAAGCUAAGUUUUUGAAUGUCCACUAAUGGUAAAGAACUCGACGGUUAGUAAUUGAUAUUUCAAAUUGAGUUAGGCUACUAUGCUAUCGGAAGCACGGAGCCUUCCGUGCUUCCAGCUCGUUUUUGAUGUUGCGACUUUCGAAUCGUCGAUCGGCUCCGUUAAACUUGAUCUAGAGUAUUUGAAAUACCUAGAAAAUAAAUUUUAUUAUUUUUCGAUAUCAUUUGCCUAGUAAUCGAAUGAGCUUAAAAUCAACAAAUUUCAACGGUCGUAGUGAGCCGUUUGCAAGUUUAACGGUGUAGAAAUAUCCAAAUCACGCGAAAUUUUGAUAGAAAAUUCUUUGUACUAUAUAAAACACGAUCAAUAUCUUUGAUUUAAAAUUUUAAUGUUAUAUUAUUACAUUUUGUAAGAUUUUUAUUUUCAGCCGUUGAUUUUGAGCCCCUUCGUUCACUAGGCAAAUAAUAUCGUAAAAUCAUAAAAUUUAUUUUCUAGGUACUUCAAAUUCUCUAGAUCAAGUUUAACGGAGCUGAUCGACGAUUCGAAAGUCGCAAUAUCGAAAACGAGCUGGAAGCACGGAAGGCUCCGUGCUUCCGAUAGCAUAGUAGCCUCACUCUUUCAAAUUUAAAACUUA